GAUUAUGGCUCAGGAUGAACGCUGGCGGCGUGCCUAACACAUGCAAGUCGAGCGAUUACUUCGGUAAAGAGCGGCGGACGGGUGAGUAACGCGUGGGUAACCUGCCUCAUACACAUGGAUAACAUACCGAAAGGUAUGCUAAUACAGGAUAAUAUAAGAGAUUCACGUGGAUUUCUUAUCAAAGCUCCGGCGGUAUGAGAUGGACCCGCGUCUGAUUAGCUAGUUGGUAAGGUAAUGGCUUACCAAGGCGACGAUCAGUAGCCGACCUGAGAGGGUGAUCGGCCACAUUGGAACUGAGACACGGUCCAAACUCCUACGGGAGGCAGCAGUGGGGAAUAUUGCACAAUGGGCGAAAGCCUGAUGCAGCAACGCCGCGUGAGUGAUGAAGGCCUUCGGGUCGUAAAACUCUGUCCUCAAGGAAGAUAAUGACGGUACUUGAGGAGGAAGCCCCGGCUAACUACGUGCCAGCCGCCGC
Molecule: ribosomal RNA, 475 nt
Filed under: uncultured bacterium
Lineage: Bacteria
Description: bacterial SSU rRNA
Rfam family: Bacterial small subunit ribosomal RNA
Source: RNAcentral